This is a long non-coding RNA of Nematostella vectensis (starlet sea anemone), 302 nucleotides long. RefSeq lists it as uncharacterized. NCBI's taxonomy places the organism in Eukaryota, Metazoa, Cnidaria, Anthozoa, Actiniaria, Edwardsiidae. The transcript has 2 exons. The record is from RefSeq and is a predicted model, not a curated record.
CUUAAGUUGUAGCCAAAUGAGGGAGAAAUCGUUAGAAUCUUUAAAUACUUAGAGGGCACGUAGAGGUGAUGGCGCGGCCAAGCUGGAACUCAUUAAUCACCUUAAGAAGAUGUCAUGGCUUCAGAUGCGUGAAAGGCUUGUGUAUCGCUGUAGCAGCCACUGUACUUAUCAAUUGGAUGUUUCUAGGCCAAUCAGGGAAAGCAAAACCAGGGAUAGCUCAACUCAAAAAAAUGAUGAUAAACGUAGAGUACGAUGGGAGCGCACAAUCGGGAAAAUUAAAUAUGGAUAGAACUAAUUUAAAA